RNAcentral lists this ribosomal RNA (529 nucleotides) under uncultured bacterium. Its description in RNAcentral is "bacterial SSU rRNA". It matches the Rfam family "Bacterial small subunit ribosomal RNA", at positions 8 to 525 of the family's 1533-position model. The record is from RNAcentral.
AGAGUUUGAUCCUGGCUCAGAAUGAACGCUGGCGGCGUGCCUAACACAUGCAAGUCGUACGAGAAAGGGGCUUCGGCCCUGAGUAGAGUGGCGCACGGGUGAGUAACGCGUGGGUAAUCUACCCUUGGAUUUGGGAUAACUCUGCGAAAGUGGAGCUAAUACCGGAUAGUCUGGCUUUUAAUAGAAGUCGGUAAAGGAUGCCUCUGCAUAUGCAUUCGUCCGAGGAUGAGCCCGCGUCUCAUUAGCUAGUUGGUAGGGUAAUGGCCUACCAAGGCAACGAUGAGUAGCUGGUCUGAGAGGAUGAUCAGCCACACUGGAACUGAAACACGGUCCAGACUCCUACGGGAGGCAGCAGUGGGGAAUAUUGCGCAAUGGGCGAAAGCCUGAACCAGCCAUCCCGCGUGCAGGAAGACGGCCCUAUGGGUUGUAAACUGCUUUUCCAGGGGGAGAAACUUGCGCACGUGUUGCGCAAUUGACGGUACCCUGGGAAUAAGCAUCGGCUAACUCCGUGCCAGCAGCCGCGGUAAUA